CCUACGGGUUGCACCAGUGGGGAAUAUUGCACAAUGGGCGCAAGCCUGAUGCAGCCAUGCCGCGUGUAUGAAGAAGGCCUUCGGGUUGUAAAGUACUUUCAGCGAGGAGGAAGGCAUUAAGGUUAAUAACCUUAGUGAUUGACGUUACCCGCAGAAGAAGCACCGGCUAACUCCGUGCCAGCAGCCGCGGUAAUACGGAGGGUGCAAGCGUUAAUCGGAAUUACUGGGCGUAAAGCGCACGCAGGCGGUCUGUCAAGUCGGAUGUGAAAUCCCCGGGCUCAACCUGGGAACUGCAUUCGAAACUGGCAGGCUAGAGUCUCGUAGAGGGGGGUAGAAUUCCAGGUGUAGCGGUGAAAUGAGUAGAGAUCUGGAGGAAUACCGGUGGCGAAGGCGGCCCCCUGGACGAAGACUGACGCUCAGAUGCGAAAGCGUGGGGAGCAAACAGGAUUAGAUACCCGUGUAGUC
This 465-nucleotide ribosomal RNA is filed under the name uncultured bacterium. RNAcentral describes it as "bacterial SSU rRNA". It matches the Rfam family "Bacterial small subunit ribosomal RNA", at positions 338 to 795 of the family's 1533-position model. The record is from RNAcentral.